Non-coding RNA from Oryza barthii, 275 nucleotides. The record is from Rfam. Lineage: Eukaryota; Viridiplantae; Streptophyta; Magnoliopsida; Poales; Poaceae.
GACUUCAAAUGAAAAAGUCAUCACCAACAAAGUUGUAUAAAUCAUCAAUAUCUAUAACUUUUAUUUUGGUCAUUUAUUCAUCUGACAAAGUGGUAGUAACAUUGUUCACAAAAUUUACAUAUCUAUCUUAUAGUUUAUAAAACCAUAUAAGAGAUGUGUAAAUUUUGUGAACAAUAUUACUACUAUUUUGUCGGAUGAAUAAAUGACCAAAAUAAAAGUUAUAGAUAUCGAUGAGUUAUACAACUUUGUUGUUGAUGACUUUUUCAGNNNNNNNN